UCUGAAGCCUCGGGGCGCUCUCCUCCCCCUCGCCUGCCCCCUAGCUCCUCCGCCGGCGUGGGGGCUGCCUGCGCCCUCAGGGUCCGCCCGCCCUCCACCAAAGCGCAGCCCUGGAACACUGUUUUAAUUCACACCAUACCCUGAGAAGGCACCAAGAAAUCUGACAAGAACGAAGCCACUAGGAGCAUGGCCACUAUUGUUUCAUGUUUGGAAGAACAACGCGUUACGAGAAUACUUUCAACGCAAUGACAUUUGUUCAAGAUUAUGAAAAAAUUUGAAUCCUUUCUCUCAAGACCAUUUCCUUUCGAAUUUAUACAGUUUGUUGCGUCAGCCCACCAAAGGAAAGC
Molecule: long non-coding RNA, 347 nt
Organism: Mirounga angustirostris (Northern elephant seal)
Lineage: Eukaryota; Metazoa; Chordata; Mammalia; Carnivora; Phocidae
Exons: 3
Source: RefSeq, a predicted model, not a curated record